RNAcentral lists this ribosomal RNA (468 nucleotides) under uncultured bacterium. RNAcentral's name for it is "partial 16S ribosomal RNA". It matches the Rfam family "Bacterial small subunit ribosomal RNA", at positions 28 to 507 of the family's 1533-position model. The record is from RNAcentral.
GACGAACGCUGGCGGCGUGCUUAACACAUGCAAGUCGAACGGCAAGGCCCUGCUUUUGUGGGGUGCUCGAGUGGCGAACGGGUGAGUAACACGUGAGUAACCUGCCCUUGACUUUGGGAUAACUUCAGGAAACUGGGGCUACUACCGGCUAGGUGCUCCUGCUGCAUGGUGGGGGUUGGACCGUUUCGGCGGUUGGGGAUGGACUCGCGGCUUAUCAGCUUGUUGGUGGGGUAGUGGCUUACCAAGGCUUUGACGGGUAGCCGGCCUGAGAGGGUGACCGGCGACAUUGGGACUGAGGGACGGCCCAGACGCCUACGGGAGGCAGCAGUGGGGAAUAUUGCACAAUGGGCGGAAGCCUGAUGCAGCAGCGCCGCGUGCGUGAAGACGGCCUGCGCGGGGUAAACCGCUUUCGCCUGAGACGAAGCGGGAGUGACGGUAAUGGGUAAAGAAGCACCGGCUAACUACGUG